Erinaceus europaeus (western European hedgehog) is the source of this 152-nucleotide small nucleolar RNA. The record is from Ensembl. NCBI's taxonomy places the organism in Eukaryota, Metazoa, Chordata, Mammalia, Eulipotyphla, Erinaceidae.
CUGCACAGUUCAGAAAACCCCUUCUGAUGUUUCUCAAACCAAAAGCUAUUUGGGAGCAGGAUAUAUCCUUAGCAUGCUACAUUAAGAAAAGAGUUCAUAGGGCUGCCAGCCUUACAGUAGAGGUUGAGUAGUAGUUUAUUUCUCCUACAGAA